GAUGAACGCUGGCGGCGUGCCUAAUACAUGCAAGUCGAGCGAACAGACGAGGAGCUUGCUCCUUUGACGUUAGCGGCGGACGGGUGAGUAACACGUGGAUAACCUACCUAUAAGACUGGGAUAACUUCGGGAAACCGGAGCUAAUACCGGAUAACAUGUUGAACCGCAUGGUUCAACAGUGAAAGACGGUCUUGCUGUCACUUAUAUAUGGAUCCGCGCCGCAUUAGCUAGUUGGUAAGGUAACGGCUUACCAAGGCAACGAUGCGUAGCCGACCUGAGAGGGUGAUCGGCCACACUGGAACUGAGACACGGUCCAGACUCCUACGGGAGGCAGCAGUAGGGAAUCUUCCGCAAUGGGCGAAAGCCUGACGGAGCAACGCCGCGUGAGUGAAGAAGGUCUUCGGAUCGUAAAACUCUGUUAUUAGGGAAGAACAAAUGUGUAAGUAACUAUGCACGUCUUGACGGUACCUAAUCAGAAAGCCACGGCUAACUACGUG
RNAcentral lists this ribosomal RNA (497 nucleotides) under uncultured bacterium. Its description in RNAcentral is "partial 16S ribosomal RNA". It matches the Rfam family "Bacterial small subunit ribosomal RNA", at positions 28 to 507 of the family's 1533-position model. The record is from RNAcentral.